Molecule: ribosomal RNA, 464 nt
Filed under: uncultured bacterium
Lineage: Bacteria
Description: partial 16S ribosomal RNA
Rfam family: Bacterial small subunit ribosomal RNA
Source: RNAcentral
CUACGGGGGGCAGCAGUGGGGAAUUUUGGACAAUGGGCGCAAGCCUGAUCCAGCAAUGCCGCGUGCAGGAUGAAGGCCUUCGGGUUGUAAACUGCUUUUGUACGGAACGAAACGGUCCCCUCUAAUACAGGGGGCUAAUGACGGUACCGUAAGAAUAAGCACCGGCUAACUACGUGCCAGCAGCCGCGGUAAUAUGUAGGGUGCGAGCGUUAAUCGGAAUUACUGGGCGUAAAGCGUGCGCAGGCGGUUAUAUAAGACAGAUGUGAAAUCCCCGGGCUCAACCUGGGACCUGCAUUUGUGACUGUAUAGCUAGAGUACGGUAGAGGGGGAUGGAAUUCCGCGUGUAGCAGUGAAAUGCGUAGAUAUGCGGAGGAACACCGAUGGCGAAGGCAAUCCCCUGGACCUGUACUGACGCUCAUGCACGAAAGCGUGGGGAGCAAACAGGAUUAGAUACCCCAGUAGUC